UACGUAGGGACCAAGCGUUGUUCGGAUUUACUGGGCGUAAAGGGUGCGUAGGCGGGCAGGUAAGUCAGUGGUGAAAUCUCCGGGCUUAACCCGGAACUGCCGUUGAUACUAUCUGUCUUGAAUAUAGUGGAGGUGAGCGGAAUAUGUCAUGUAGCGGUGAAAUGCUUAGAUAUGACAUAGAACACCCAUUGCGAAGGCAGCUCGCUACACUAUCAUUGACGCUGAGGCACGAAAGCGUGGGGAUCAAACAGG
RNAcentral lists this ribosomal RNA (252 nucleotides) under uncultured bacterium. RNAcentral's name for it is "partial 16S ribosomal RNA". It matches the Rfam family "Bacterial small subunit ribosomal RNA", at positions 524 to 776 of the family's 1533-position model. The record is from RNAcentral.